ACAUCUGGUAGGCACUACAUGGCGCUUGACCCGGGCGUCCAUUCACGCCCGGGUCAUAAUGCUGCGUGGCCGAGAGAUGCCUAAGUAACCGGGAAAGUUUUAGUGAGUUAAUUUUUGUAUUUUUAUAAUUAGUUUAGUGAGUGAGUUAAUUAUUUCAUUUUUUUGUUCGAGUUCAGAGAAUAAUUGAAGAUCCGAAGCAACUUGUUUUACAAUGGUGCCAUUAGACCCUUGGAUGCUCCACUUGAUCAGAUCAGAUGACCGGGCAAUUUAUGAGAAAAUGAUCAAUAAAAAUGUUUUUAGACGUUUCUGGUGUCACACUAUAUCCUUGCCCAAGGGACUUAAGACGCCAAUAUGAUUGCAUUUUUACUAAAGAUGCCCUGCAAUUUCUGGCGGAUAUCAUUGCACAAUUCGAUCACAGAAUUGAAGAA
This is a long non-coding RNA of Ctenocephalides felis (cat flea), 428 nucleotides long. RefSeq lists it as uncharacterized. The transcript is spliced from 3 exons. The record is from RefSeq and is a predicted model, not a curated record. NCBI's taxonomy places the organism in Eukaryota, Metazoa, Arthropoda, Insecta, Siphonaptera, Pulicidae.